CUCCUUGCUGUGAGAAGCUGAAAAGUCCUUGGCUUAGUGUAGCUGAGGAAAGGGAGCAGAAGGUUAUUUACAACCUGCAGAAGCUGAGGAAGGCUCUGUUAGAAAGUGAAAUAGAAAAGCUGCUUGGAACAAAUCUACCGUGCCACAGUGCACUGUGCUUGCCAGCCUGCCCCAGAGCCUGACUCUCAGUGUACACUGGAGCUUCCCCUGCAGUGAAUUCAUAAUUAUGCAUUAUGGAAAUACAGAUGUUGGCAAUAGAAGAGAGCAAAACAAGAUCGCUUCCUUUCUUGUGAGUGUUUGUCAUCUCUAGUGUCAAAUGAUUCAAGUGAUGAGUCUUCA
This is a long non-coding RNA of Cygnus olor (mute swan), 339 nucleotides long. RefSeq lists it as uncharacterized. The transcript is spliced from 3 exons. The record is from RefSeq and is a predicted model, not a curated record. NCBI's taxonomy places the organism in Eukaryota, Metazoa, Chordata, Aves, Anseriformes, Anatidae.